Long non-coding RNA from Tyto alba (common barn owl), 492 nucleotides. RefSeq lists it as uncharacterized. The transcript has 3 exons. The record is from RefSeq and is a predicted model, not a curated record. Lineage: Eukaryota; Metazoa; Chordata; Aves; Strigiformes; Tytonidae.
GUCAGUCCUUUGGAAUACAGAGAAAACCGGCUAGAGCCCCAGAAUGGCUAUCUUGCACCUGCCUGCUGCCUCUCCUUCUCUUCCAGCUGCUUCUGUCUGCCAUAUGAAGAAAUGUGCUCUCUUACUAGCAAGGUAUUUGUGGUAGAAUAUGGAUUUAAUAACAAGAAAUGUCAACAUUUCCCUGGAUGAAGUUGUUUAUGCGUGAUGAAACUUGUUCAGUAUUCUUGUAUCUCUUCUUUGUGCUUGAGACAGAAGCCACUGUGAAGCUCCACUGAAACAGUAGACACAUGUGUGGACUUAGAUGUACUGGAGAACACUCACAAUUACAUCUACCUGGGCUUCACUGUUGAGAACAGAGACGUCCACCAGAAAGAAAGAAAUGACACUGCACAAAAAAACCCCAACUUUCUUGUCUUCUCUUUUAAAAGGGUAGAUGAUAGAUAGAAAUCAAGUUGGUAUGCAGUUCCUCCAACAGCUUUAUUAAUAUGCUUU